UUGUCUGUCAUGCUUUCAUUUAUUUCAGACUGCAAUAUCUGCCAUUCCUUCUUCCUUGAUAAGUGCAAUAUCCACGGGCCUCCAGUGUUUAUUAAAAACCCUUUAGUUGAAAUCGGUGUUGCAAAUAGGGCACGUCUCACUUUACCACAAGGAAUGAUCAUUAAAGUUUCCAAGAUCCCAAACGCAGGCCUUGGGGUCUGGAACGAGCGACGUGUCAUACCUAAUAGCAUCCACUUCGGGCCUUACGAAGGGGAGCUAACCAGUGAGAAAGAGGCAGCCCUCAGCGGAUAUUCAUGGAUGGUAUGUGAACUGUGCCAGAAAUGAUGAAGAGCAAAAUCUCGUGGCCUUUCAGUACAAAGGACAGAUCUUCUACAGAUCAUGCAAGCCAAUCCCUCCUGGUUGUGAGCUGCUGGUGUGGUACGGAGAUGAAUACGGCAAAGAGCUGGGGGUUGGACUGGAUUUUAUGUGGGAGAGGUCAAUAGAAAAGGACGUGGAGAAACACAAAUUACAUACCUGCCAUCACUGUGGAGCCUCCUUUACUGCAAAGCAUUACCUUGAAGACCAUGAGAAGAAAACUCACCCACGAGAAGAAAUAUUGAGAACAACCGAAAACUCUCAGGCUUCACACAGUACUGAAUGUGGAAGCAGUUUCAGUAAGAUAGACAAUGUUAAAAUACGUCAGCGACUUUGCACUGGGGACAAACCACAUACCUGUGUUGAAUGUGAUAGGAGUUCAAAUAAGACUGAACAGGCCAUCCUCAAAAAACAAACCAUUUUGGAUAUGUUUUCUAUUUGUGAGAAAAGAAGUUAUUUUUUGUAUUUGUUAGUUGUGUUUGCUUUUUGUUUCACUUCUGUGUAUCUAUUUUCAUUUCUUUUUGUUUUACUCGUUUUGUAGCGUGUGAUAAUUUUAAGCCCAACUUUUAUUUACAGUUCAUAGUAAAUUAAGAGCAGGUAGUACUUAUAGUAGUAAAAGGGAGACAUUCACAAAGCU
Molecule: long non-coding RNA, 991 nt
Organism: Acipenser ruthenus (sterlet)
Lineage: Eukaryota; Metazoa; Chordata; Actinopteri; Acipenseriformes; Acipenseridae
Exons: 3
Source: RefSeq, a predicted model, not a curated record